RNAcentral lists this unclassified non-coding RNA (396 nucleotides) under uncultured fungus. RNAcentral's name for it is "sequence contains ITS1". The stretch from base 1 to 107 matches the Rfam family "5.8S ribosomal RNA", at positions 50 to 154 of the family's 154-position model. Lineage: Eukaryota; Fungi. The record is from RNAcentral.
CAACUGUGCGAAGCAUGGCGAAUUGCAGGGCUUCAUGAAACCGCUACUUGUCGAACGCAUAUUGCGGCCCUGGCUCACGGGUCAGGGCCACAUCCACCUGAGGGUCGAAGAGUCUUGUUGCUUCUCGGAGCGAUUGUCCACUGGCCGGCGUAAAGUCGGGCUUUGGACUGAAUGAUAGUUUUUUCAAGGCUCUGGAUGAUCUCUCAGUUUCAGUGCUUGGGAACUGCUCCUCUUGGUUGCCCGUUGGUAACUGCAGAGUUGGUCUGAUUCAUUUCACCCAACCUGCAUUGCCACUGGGCCUGGAGCUCAUUUCCCAUGCAUUCGAGCUGGAGUAAAGUCUGGGGCCUCAACUCUCUUUUUGACCUCAGGUUGGGUGAGGUUACCCGCCGAAUUUAA